ACCACUGAGCCACCUUCCCAGCCCCAUCAUAUAUUUUUUAAAGGGAUGGGUACUCGGGCUGGGAAGGUGGCUCAGUGGU
Molecule: microRNA precursor, 79 nt
Filed under: Dipodomys ordii (Ord's kangaroo rat)
Lineage: Eukaryota; Metazoa; Chordata; Mammalia; Rodentia; Heteromyidae
Description: mir-3473 microRNA precursor family
Rfam family: mir-3473 microRNA precursor family
Source: Rfam by way of RNAcentral